GUUGACUGUUGUUUUGGUGGUGGCUGCUGCCGCCGCCUCCGUGGUGGUUGCCGGAGCUGAGAAAUUGCCGGCGGGGGUGCUUAGUUUGGAGAGGAUUUUUCCGGUGAAUGGGAAAGUGGAGCUGGAGGAGCUUAGAGCUAGGGAUAAAGCUAGACAUGCUCGAAUGUUGCAGAGUUUUGGUGGUGGUAUUGUUGAUUUUCCUGUUGUUGGUUCUUCUGACCCUUAUCUUGUCGGCCUUUAUUUUACAAAAGUGAGACUGGGAACUCCGCCAAGAGAAUAUAACGUGCAGAUUGAUACCGGCAGUGAUAUCCUGUGGGUCACCUGCAGUUCCUGUGACGAUUGUCCUCGAACAAGUGGACUUGGGGUUGAGCUCAACUUCUAUGAUGCUACAGUCUCAUCAACUGCCUCUCCUAUUUCUUGUGCGGACCAAGUGUGCGCCUCUAUAGUUCAAACUACCUCUGCUGAGUGCUCUACAGAAACCAAUCAGUGUGGUUACACCUUUCAGUAUGGAGAUGGGAGUGGCACAACUGGUCAUUACGUAGCCGAUUUAUUAUAUUUCGAUACAGUCCUGGGAACCUCGUUGAUUGCCAACUCCUCAGCACCAAUUGUUUUUGGGUGCAGCACCUCUCAGUCUGGUGACUUGACCAAGACGGACAGAGCAAUUGAUGGGAUUUUUGGGUUUGGUCAACAGGGACUAUCAGUUAUAUCUCAAUUGUCUUCUCGUGGGAUUACUCCUAAAGUAUUUUCACAUUGCUUGAAAGGAGAGGGAAAUGGUGGAGGUAUACUAGUCCUUGGUGAGAUUUUGGAUCCGAGAAUCGUAUAUAGUCCCCUUGUUCCGUCACAGGCGCAUUACAAUGUGUAUCUGCAGAGCAUAGCUGUUAAUGGACAGUUGGUGCCUGUUGAUCCAUCAGUGUUUGCGACAUCUGGCAAUCGAGGAACUAUUGUGGAUUCUGGUACAACUUUGUCUUAUAUUGCUGCAGAAGCUUAUGAUCCCUUUGUCAGUGCUAUAGCUGCUGCUGUUUCAAAAUCAGCAAGGCCAAUCAUCUCACGAACAAAACCGUGCUUUUUAGUGUCCUCAAGCAUAGCUGAGAUAUUUCCCCCAGUUUCUUUGAACUUCGAUGGCGGCGCAUCAAUGGCUUUAAGACCAGCAGACUACCUUGUGCAUAUGGGCUUUGUUGAAGGUGCUGCUAUGUGG
This 1195-nucleotide unclassified non-coding RNA is filed under the name Hevea brasiliensis (rubber tree). Lineage: Eukaryota; Viridiplantae; Streptophyta; Magnoliopsida; Malpighiales; Euphorbiaceae. The record is from RNAcentral.